UUGACGCUGGCGGCGGCYUAACACAUGCAAGUCGAGCGGAUAGAGGUAGCUUGCUACUGAUCUUAGCGGCGGACGGGUGAGUAAUGCUUAGGAAUCUGCCUGUUAGUGGGGGACAACAUUUCGAAAGGAAUGCUAAUACCGCAUACGUCCUACGGGAGAAAGCAGGGGAUCUUCGGACCUUGCGCUAUUAGAUGAGCCUAAGUCGGAUUAGCUAGUUGGUGGGGUAAAGGCCUACCAAGGCGACGAUCYGUAACUGGUCUGAGAGGAUGAUCCGYCACACUGGRACUGAGACACGGYCCAGACUCCUACGGGAGGCAGCAGUGGGGAAUAUUGGACAAUGGGCGCAAGCCUGAUCCAGCCAUGCCGCGUGUGUGAAGAAGGCCUUAUGGUUGUAAAGCACUUUAAGCGAGGAGGAGGGUCCUUUAGUUAAUACCUAGAUAUUGU
RNAcentral lists this ribosomal RNA (444 nucleotides) under Acinetobacter calcoaceticus. RNAcentral's name for it is "bacterial SSU rRNA". It matches the Rfam family "Bacterial small subunit ribosomal RNA", at positions 33 to 473 of the family's 1533-position model. Lineage: Bacteria; Pseudomonadati; Pseudomonadota; Gammaproteobacteria; Moraxellales; Moraxellaceae. The record is from RNAcentral.